Molecule: ribosomal RNA, 423 nt
Filed under: uncultured bacterium
Lineage: Bacteria
Description: bacterial SSU rRNA
Rfam family: Bacterial small subunit ribosomal RNA
Source: RNAcentral
AAGACCUUGCGCUUUUGGAGCGGCCGAUGUCUGAUUAGCUAGUUGGUAGGGUAAUGGCCUACCAAAGCUUCGAUCAGUAGCUGGUCUGAGAGGACGACCAGCCACACUGGGACUGAGACACGGCCCAGACUCCUACGGGAGGCAGCAGUGGGGAAUUUUGGACAAUGGGCGCAAGCCUGAUCCAGCCAUGCCGCGUGAGUGGAGAAGGCCUUCGGGUUGUAAAGCUCUUUCAGCCGGGAAGAAAAGGCUACGACGAAUAAUCGUAGCUCAUGACGGUACCGGAAGAAGAAGCACCGGCUAACUACGUGCCAGCAGCCGCGGUAAUACGUAGGGUGCGAGCGUUAAUCGGAAUUACUGGGCGUAAAGGGUGCGCAGGCGGUUUUGUAAGUCAGAUGUGAAAUCCCCGGGCUUAACCUGGGAACU